GGACGGGUGAGUAAUACAUCGGAAUGUACUCAGUCGUGGGGGAUCGCGUAGCGAAAGUUACGCUAAUUCCGCAUACGAUCUUCGGGUGAAAGCAGGGGAUCUUCGGACCUUGCGCGAUUGAAUGAGCCGAUGUCAGAUUAGAUAGUUGGCGGGGUAAAGGCUCACCAAGGCGACGAUCUGUAGCUGGUCUGAGAGGAUGAUCAGCCACACUGGAACUGAGACACGGUCCAGACUCCUACGGGAGGCAGCACUGGGGAAUUUUGGACAAUGGGCGCAAGCCUGAUCCAGCAAUACCGCGUGGGGAAGAAGGCCUUCGGGUUGUAAAGCCCUUUUGUUGGGAAAGAAAUCGCAGCUGGUUAAUACCCGGUUGGGAUGACGGUACCCAAAGAAUAAGCACCGGCUAACUUCGUGCCAGCAGCCGCGGUAAUACGAAGGGUGCAAGCGUUACUCGGAAUUACUGGGCGUAAAGCGUGCGUAGGCGGUCGUUUAAGUCCGUUGUGAAAGCCCUGGGCUCAACCUGGGAACUGCAGUGGAUACUGGGCGACUAGAGUGUGGUAGAGGGUAGCGGAAUUCCUGGUGUAGCAGUGAAAUGCGUAGAGAUCAGGAGGAAC
This 611-nucleotide ribosomal RNA is filed under the name Stenotrophomonas sp. GLT-Slr-59. Its description in RNAcentral is "bacterial SSU rRNA". It matches the Rfam family "Bacterial small subunit ribosomal RNA", at positions 100 to 707 of the family's 1533-position model. Lineage: Bacteria; Pseudomonadati; Pseudomonadota; Gammaproteobacteria; Lysobacterales; Lysobacteraceae. The record is from RNAcentral.